GUGGGGAAUUUUGGACAAUGGGCGCAAGCCUGAUCCAGCAAUGCCGCGUGCAGGAAGAAGGCCUUCGGGUUGUAAACUGCUUUUGUACGGAACGAAACGGUCCGGGUUAAUACCCUGGGCUAAUGACGGUACCGUAAGAAUAAGCACCGGCUAACUACGUGCCAGCAGCCGCGGUAAUACGUAGGGUGCAAGCGGUAAUCGGAAUUACUGGGCGUAAAGCGUGCGCAGGCGGUUUUGUAAGACAGGCGUGAAAUCCCCGGGCUCAACCUGGGAAUUGCGCUUGUGACUGCAAGGCUGGAGUGCGGCAGAGGGGGAUGGAAUUCCGCGUGUAGCAGUGAAAUGCGUAGAUAUGCGGAGGAACACCGAUGGCGAAGGCAAUCCCCUGGGCCUGCACUGACGCUCAUGCACGAAAGCGUGGGGAGCAAACAGGAUUAGAUACCCGGGUAGUCC
This 450-nucleotide ribosomal RNA is filed under the name uncultured bacterium. RNAcentral's name for it is "partial 16S ribosomal RNA". It matches the Rfam family "Bacterial small subunit ribosomal RNA", at positions 354 to 796 of the family's 1533-position model. The record is from RNAcentral.